ACAAAUGUAACAACAUUUAUAUACAAGUUACCUUGUCUCUCAAGGCAAGAACUUCUCCAGCAAAUUCCCAAAGAAAAAACUGGUUUUGGCCCACCCUCCUCCUGUUCCAGCUUGACCUUCUUCUUUCCAUCUCCUGCUAGGUACCUUGUUCUUCACGUUAAUCAUCAUACUGUGUCCAAUCUCUCCACGUAACGCCUCUAUCGUCUUCACGUCCACUGGAUUCCCUGAAGCAUCUCUCACAUAGAAAACGUUAACCGCUUGUUCUCCAACUGUUGUCACACCAGCUCGAGUCACUGAAAGACCAUGCUCUCUCAGAAUCCUAGUCACUUCAGACAGAAGUCCAACUCUGUCCUUUGCACAUAGCUCCAAACUCCAGCCCUAGAAAUAGUUUCAGACAAUAACUUAAAGAAAUUAUUGCUUGUAACGCGAGAAACACUAAAAGAAGAUGUAUGUGUUUAAGCGUUAACUUACGUAAAUAGAGUUCAGACAAUAACUUAAGGAACUGUUACUUCUAGUGAAAGAAGCAUCAAAAUAAGAUGUGUGUGUUUAAGGGUAAACUUACCUCACUGAAUUGAGUUUCAGACUAUAACCUAAGGAACUGUUGCUUCUAAUGCAAGAAACAUCAAAAGAAGAUGUGUGUGUGUGUUUAAUGGUUGGCUUGUCUCACUAAAAUUGAGUUUUAGACAAUAACUUAAGGAACUGUUACUUCUAUUAAAAGAAUAAAACUAAAAGAAGAUGUGUGUGGUUAAGGGUUAACUCACCUCUCUGAACUGAGUUUCAGCCAAAAUUAAGAAACUGUUACUUCUAGUGCAAGAAACACAAAAAGAAGAUGUGUGUGUUUUACCUCGCUGACUCUUCUAUGUAUUGCAGCUUCUAGGCAUUUGAUAACUCUCUCUUUCUCUCCUUCAGAGUCAAGAGUGCAACCAUCUUUGUGUCUGAUGAAAUACUCCUGAGAGGCAUGAGGACCGCUCGAUGUAAUCGUGGCGUGAAACACAAUGUACUGCAUAUCAGUAAGCGUGCAUACAAUGUCGAACAUCAGCUUAGCUCUAUCCUCACAGCUCACGCUUAUCACAGAGUAACCUUUCUCUUCACAAUGCUCAACAGUGAUCUUAGGCUCGAGUCCAGAACCAUCAACCUUACUCACUGCAUCAUAGUCUCUAUCAGCGAAAAGCAUCUGAUGAAGCCUACGGUCAACAUGAGUGGACCCAAUGGAGAGACUCGUCCGAGCAACUUUCUCAUUUUCUUGUUCAGACCCGCGUAUCACAAGGUUGAGCUGCUCUUCCAUUGCAGACAAUCUUUCUGGAUCAUCAACGGCUCUAGAGGUCUCGUUAUCAUUCACAUAGAGAACACAAGCGAUCCUACGGUUAUGAGUCCAUGCUUCAGCUGCCACUACAUUGAAGUGUAGGUCUGCUAGUACAGCUGAGAUCUCAGACAAGAGACCAGGACGGUCACGAGCAAUGAUCUCGAUUGAUGUGUGGUCGCCUAGUGAGUGGACACCGACUCUUUUACCUGGCCAAGUGUUUUGUGAAGACGCAGCAUGACCCUUUGGUCCUAACACCUGACAAGAAGUACAAGAAUCAUAUACUCCCUUUGUUCCACAAUGACACAUUUUUUACAGGUUUCACACAUAUUAAAAAUGAUUAAUGUAUAGCAAUAAAUAUCUUAAUUUUUGUGUAAAAAAACUUCCUAUAAAUUUAAACCAAUAGUUUUAAUCAUAACUACUUGAAUUUAACAUUUUUUUUACUUAUUAAAUAUGCAUACAAACUUUAAAAAAUCUAACUUAAAACAAAUUUUUACAGGUUUUUAUUACAUACCUUCUCGAUGUAAUCAAUUGUUUUGCUAUCAGUAACCUUGUUUCCUUGUUGAUCAGUGACAUGGAAAACUAUUAAAAAAUAUAUAUUUAAUUUUGUAUAUUUUUAAAAUAAAACUAUUAUUAUUAUACAUCUAGCAAUAUUUUAAUUAAUAGAAAAACAAACAAAGAAUAUUGUUAAUAAAUUUUGCAUUAAAAUUUUAAAACAAAUUUUUAUUCUAAAACAAUAUUUAAAUUGAAACGGAUACAGUAGUAACCAAGAAAUGACAUGGAAACAGCAAGCCGUUAACUUUUUCCCUAGUUUCGUGCAUACUUUAGACUAGGCUGUUAGCCUUAUCAUAGGCCGCACUCCAUGCCGUUUUCCACUAUUGCUUUUCGACUUUCCCACCUCUACUCUCCAUUAGUCUUCCCCAUUUCUAGGGCCUAGCCAUAACAGAAAUAUUAGCAAUAAAUGACGUUUGAGAUGAAACUAAUAAUGCAGUUUCAAACUUGGAGGUGGGCCUGAGCAUCGGGUUUCGGUUAUGUCCAAUCGGAUCUCGGUUAUUCGGAUUUAUCAAAAUCAGUCUCAUUCGGAUUAUAUGAAAGUUCGGUUCGAGACUGAUUCGGGUUCUAUCGGGUUCGAGUCGGAAUUAUUAAAUCUUCAAAGAACCGGUACAACCCGUUGUACUUUCGGAUUCGGCUCCCAAUCGAUUCUUCGGUUUAAAAAUACCUUAUUUGUAUUUACUUUGUAACCAUAACAUAAAUAAAAUCGGUUCUUCAGUUUUAAAGUACCUGAUUUACACCUAUUUUGUAACCAAAACAUAACUAAAAUCGAUUUAAAAAUAAGAGAGGAACAUCAAAAUAUUUAUUCAAAAUUAAACGAAAGGUAAACAUAGUUAUUGAUAGAAAGAAAAUCAAAUAAAUGAAAGCAUAAAACGAAAACCCAGUUCUCCUGAAAUGAGAAACAAUAUUCAAUGAAAACAAAACCAAAAUCUAAAAAUUUCAAGAUUGAAUCGUCACUUUCAACCAUCAACCUCCAUGUAAUAGAUAAUUAUUUUAGAUUUUUCAAUAAUAUCUUAGUGUACUUUUCGUUUACAUAUUAUCAAUUGAGAUCAUGUUUGGUACAAAAUAAUUUUUGGGAUUUUGAAUGUUUCGGGGCUUAUCGGAUAUCAAUUUAGGUUUGGGUUCGGUUCGGAUAACACUCAUAACCCAAAAUACCAUAAAAUAAGACUCAUUUGGUAUUUGUGUCGAGUUUGGAUCGGUUUGGAUUCAAUUUUAUCGGAUCAGGUUCAGUUCGGUUCGGAUUUUUGGGAUCGGUUUAUUUGUCCCGUCCUACUUGGAGGAAUUACGAACUUUGGUCCAUUGGUCCAUAAACUUCUAGUAAUUAAGAAAUAAACUCAUACACUCAUUGUCAUGGCCAAGUCAUACACUCAUACAAUACCUAUGUUUAGUCAAUCCUCAUUGUCAUGGCCAAGUCAGUGCACCAACUUAAUAAUUGAAUCACAACAUAGAUUCCUCAGAAAAAAAAAGUUACAUUAAAAAAUGACAAAUCUUAACAAAAUGGAUAUUAUACAUUUGGGACAAAGACAAUAAGGUCGCGAGGACCGAGUUUCAUAUACAAAAGCAAACCUUCCAACAGGAAAAGUUCCAUAUUAUUCUACCAUGUUCAAACGGUGCACUUCACGGUCAUACUAUGACUAAAGUAAAACCAAAAUCCCUGACCAAGUCAAAACACUCCCACUAGACCUUCUAGAUCAUACAUAUUACACAUUUUACAGUUCAUUUUUAUCCACACAAAUGUAACAACAUUUAUAUACAAGUUACCUUGUCUCUCAAGGCAAGAACUUCUCCAGCAAAUUCCCAAAGAAAAAACUGGUUUUGGCCCACCCUCCUCCUGUUCCAGCUUGACCUUCUUCUUUCCAUCUCCUGCUAGGUACCUUGUUCUUCACGUUAAUCAUCAUACUGUGUCCAAUCUCUCCACGUAACGCCUCUAUCGUCUUCACGUCCACUGGAUUCCCUGAAGCAUCUCUCACAUAGAAAACGUUAACCGCUUGUUCUCCAACUGUUGUCAC
RNAcentral lists this long non-coding RNA (3861 nucleotides) under Brassica napus (rape). Its description in RNAcentral is "long non-coding RNA (BNAP_LNC018895)". The record is from RNAcentral. Lineage: Eukaryota; Viridiplantae; Streptophyta; Magnoliopsida; Brassicales; Brassicaceae.